Molecule: ribosomal RNA, 253 nt
Filed under: uncultured bacterium
Lineage: Bacteria
Description: partial 16S ribosomal RNA
Rfam family: Bacterial small subunit ribosomal RNA
Source: RNAcentral
UCAGAGUUGACAUGGCUCAGGACGAACGCUGGCGGCGCGCCUAACACAUGCAAGUCGAACGGAGCUGAGAGGAGCUUGCUUUUCUUAGCUUAGUGGCGAACGGGUGAGUAACGCGUGAGUAACCUGCCCUGGAGUGGGGGACAACAGUUGGAAACGACUGCUAAUACCGCAUAAGCCCACGGCCCGGCAUCGGGCUGAGGGAAAAGGAUUUAUUCGCUUCAGGAUGGACUCGCGUCCAAUUAGCUAGUUGGUG